AGUGAACGCUGGCGGUAGGCCUAACACAUGCAAGUCGAACGGCAGCACAGUAAGAGCUUGCUCUUACGGGUGGCGAGUGGCGGACGGGUGAGGAAUACAUCGGAAUCUACUUUUUCGUGGGGGAUAACGUAGGGAAACUUACUCUAAUACCGCAUACGACCUACGGGUGAAAGCAGGGGAUCUUCGCACCUUGCGCGAUUGAAUGAGCCGAUGUCGGAUUAGCUAGUUGGGGGGGUAAAGGCCCACCAAGGCGCCGAUCCGUAGCUGGUCUGAGAGGAUGAUCGGCGACACUGGAACUGAGACACGGUCCAGACUCCUACGGGAGGCAGCAGUGGGGAAUAUUGGACAAUGGGCGCAAGCCUGAUCCAGCCAUACCGCGUGGGUGAAGAAGGCCUUCGGGUUGUAAAGCCCUUUUGUUGGGAAAGAAAAGCAGCAGGUUAAUACCCCGCUGUUCUGACGGUACCCAAAGAAUAAGCACCGGCUAACUUCGUG
This 492-nucleotide ribosomal RNA is filed under the name uncultured bacterium. Its description in RNAcentral is "partial 16S ribosomal RNA". It matches the Rfam family "Bacterial small subunit ribosomal RNA", at positions 29 to 507 of the family's 1533-position model. The record is from RNAcentral.